UUUGAUCAUGGCUCAGAUUGAACGCUGGCGGCAGGCCUAACACAUGCAAGUCGAGCGGCAGCACAGAGAAACUUGUUUCUCGGGUGGCGAGCGGCGGACGGGUGAGUAAUGCCUGGGAAAUUGCCCUGAUGUGGGGGAUAACCAUUGGAAACGAUGGCUAAUACCGCAUGAUAGCUUCGGCUCAAAGAGGGGGACCUUCGGGCCUCUCGCGUCAGGAUAUGCCCAGGUGGGAUUAGCUAGUUGGUGAGGUAAGGGCUCACCAAGGCGACGAUCCCUAGCUGGUCUGAGAGGAUGAUCAGCCACACUGGAACUGAGACACGGUCCAGACUCCUACGGGAGGCAGCAGUGGGGAAUAUUGCACAAUGGGCGCAAGCCUGAUGCAGCCAUGCCGCGUGUGUGAAGAAGGCCUUCGGGUUGUAAAGCACUUUCAGUCGUGAGGAAGGUG
RNAcentral lists this ribosomal RNA (445 nucleotides) under Vibrio vulnificus. Its description in RNAcentral is "bacterial SSU rRNA". It matches the Rfam family "Bacterial small subunit ribosomal RNA", at positions 12 to 453 of the family's 1533-position model. Lineage: Bacteria; Pseudomonadati; Pseudomonadota; Gammaproteobacteria; Vibrionales; Vibrionaceae. The record is from RNAcentral.